UACGUAGGGGGCAAGCGUUGUCCGGAAUCAUUGGGCGUAAAGCGCGUGUAGGCGGCUUGGUAAGUCCGCUCUGAAAGCCCGGGGCUCAACCCCGGGAGGCGGGUGGAUACUGUCAAGCUCGAGUCCGGAAGAGGCGGGUGGAAUUCCUGGUGUAGCGGUGAAAUGCGCAGAUAUCAGGAGGAACACCAAUGGCGAAGGCAGCUCGCUGGGACGUGACUGACGCUGAGACGCGAAAGCGUGGGUAGCAAACAGG
This 253-nucleotide ribosomal RNA is filed under the name uncultured bacterium. Its description in RNAcentral is "partial 16S ribosomal RNA". It matches the Rfam family "Bacterial small subunit ribosomal RNA", at positions 524 to 776 of the family's 1533-position model. The record is from RNAcentral.